UACGGAGGGUGCGAGCGUUAAUCGGAAUUACUGGGCGUAAAGCGUGCGUAGGCGGUUUAAUAAGUUAUAAAUGAAAUAGUUGGGCUCAACCUAAUUGCUGUUUAUAAGACUGUUAGACUUGAGUAUAGGAGAGGGUGGUGGAAUUUCCGGUGUAGCGGUGAAAUGCGUAGAGAUCGGAAGGAACACUGGUGGCGAAGGCGGCCACCUGGCCUAAUACUGACGCUGAGGUACGAAAGCAUGGGGAGCAAACAGG
RNAcentral lists this ribosomal RNA (253 nucleotides) under uncultured bacterium. RNAcentral describes it as "partial 16S ribosomal RNA". It matches the Rfam family "Bacterial small subunit ribosomal RNA", at positions 524 to 776 of the family's 1533-position model. The record is from RNAcentral.